AUACGUUUCUAGUGCGCACGUGUGCAUAUUCUUAAGAAACACGUGUUUGUUGAGCAUGUUCUUUGAGCGUGUGGCUUAUUAGAGUUUCUCGUGCCCUCGUGAUUAUUAGAUCAUAUACAUGAUUCUAUACUGAUACUGUUUAAGAGCUAAACUUAUUACCGGCUGCAACAUUGGGCUCGUCAUCCAGUAAAGCAGGCCAUGCUGCGGCCGUGACACCUGAGGAUGAGAACACACGAAAAAAGAUGCGGUGAGGGUACAUACAUCACGUUACCAUGAGAAGAGAUGCAGUGAGUGCCUUCAUCACUGCAUAGAAGAUCAAACGACGCGGUUACAUUUGAUUAACAAAUAACAAACAAUGGACUGUGAUUGGACGAGAGCAGGGAUCCGCAGGUCGAGAAAGCAAAACAUGGCAGGUCUAGGGCUAUCUGAGCGGUAAACAUAUCAUGUAUUAUGAUCUAAGAGCCCUCUUACCACAAACUUAGUUUUCGUUUAUAAUAUUUUGGACAUAUCGUGAAAUAAAUACGAUACACCAAAAGUUGGUAUUCAAAUUUUCAUCUCUAAUAAGACUUCUUCAAGAAGUAGGUGGAAUGGAACGGCGUAACACAAAAAGUCGAAUCUUAGCUUCUUAACCUUUUUUGUUUUGUUUUCGCCACUUUCCCAGUAACAUUUGAUUUACAAGAAAAUGUGAUUUUUUUAGGUUUAUUGAACAGGUGCAUCUUGUGAUUAGCCGUGAGCCAAAAGGGCCAGGGGGUUUGGGUGAUUUCACAUCAUCCUUAAAUCUAGCCCACAAUGCAAUUCGUGGCUCGAGGCUAGUUUUUCACCGUUUACACCGGGUAAACGCCUGCAUUACAGGAAACCUGACAUUUCAUAUCUUGAAAUAUAGGCAGACAUUGUUAUUAGAACACCUGUCAGUCUGACCACUGAAUUCGGCCUAUUUACAAUAAUUCCUAAUAUAAUAAAAAUACUAAUUUAAGAAAUACAAAUAUUAAUUCAUAAACUACAUUGAUAAAUAAGCUAUAUAGAAUUGAAUAGACGAUUUAAAAAAGUCUAAAAGGCUGGUAUGAGGAGGCCCCUUACAAUAAAUAACUAUUCAUGAA
Nematostella vectensis (starlet sea anemone) is the source of this 1097-nucleotide long non-coding RNA. RefSeq lists it as uncharacterized. NCBI's taxonomy places the organism in Eukaryota, Metazoa, Cnidaria, Anthozoa, Actiniaria, Edwardsiidae. The transcript is spliced from 3 exons. The record is from RefSeq and is a predicted model, not a curated record.